Molecule: ribosomal RNA, 35 nt
Filed under: Oryza sativa Indica Group (long-grained rice)
Lineage: Eukaryota; Viridiplantae; Streptophyta; Magnoliopsida; Poales; Poaceae
Source: RNAcentral
GUGACAUCCUGGGAAGUCCUCGUGUUGCAUCCCUC